CUGCCUGUGGGAUUGCCCCUGGUAGCCGGAUUGGUCGCUCCCAGAUUGCGGGGAGAGCACAGCACCAGGAUAUGCCGCCCAGCCCGGAGCAGGAAGGGGUAGGACCUGCCUUGUGGGUGGCUUCUGCGCACAGGCUCCUCUCCAGACACGGUUCUCCUGGUGCACAAUGACAUCUCACUGCCUCUGUCUUGGCCUGACACCACUGGUUCUGCUUUGCUGCCUGCCCCUGGUGCACCCAGACCCAUGCGGCCUGAGCAUCGUGCCCAAGGACCUGGCAGUAGCGUUUGGGGGUGACGUGGUUCUGAACUGCACCAGCACGUGCUCCAGUCACACCAGCCUGGGCUGGGAGACGUCGGUGCCGAAGGUGACGAAGGAGGGAACCGGCUGGAUGUCUCUGCACAUCUCCAACCUCACAGAGUGGGACCUGAAGCCCCUGUGCUUUGUCAGCUCCACGGACAUCACCGAAAAAGCCAGGCUCCACGUGUACCGAUUCUCACCCCCUGAGAUCCACCUGGGAGCCGAGAUGGUGGCCGGUCACCAGGAGCGAAUCACCUGCAACGUCUCCAGCCUUGUGUCCGGUUCCAUCCCCUCCGACAUCAACGUCACCCUGAGCAGCGGGGGCAGCACCCUUAGCGAAAGCCGUGGCAGCCUGGCCGUGGGGUACAGCUUCGUGGCACAGCCCACGCAGCACGGGCAGGAGAUCGUGUGCCAGGCCUGGCUCCGCGUGGGCCACCAGGUGCUGAGUGACAGCGCCAGAGCCACCCUGCACGUCUGGGCCCCGCCCCACAACGUGAAGGUCUCCGUGGAGCGGCUGCAGUUCGGGGUCGGCGCUAACUUCACGGUGUGGUGCAGCGCCGAGGGGAACCCCCCACCCAAGCUGCGCUGGGAGCUGCCCUCCAACGCCAGCGUGGAGCUGUCUGACCGCGGCCAGACGGUAACCGUGCGCUCGGCUCAGCGUGCCCACAAUGGGACCUACCGGUGCCUAGCACAGAACAGAUACGGGGCCAGCUCGGGGCACAUUGAUGUCCUCAUCGAAGUCUCCACAGUUCCCCCAAGGUCCAGAACCGUGAUAGUCGCAGUGGUGCUGGGGGUGAUUGUGGUUCUUGGCGGCGUAGCCCUGGGAGUGUGGUGGCUUGUGAGAAAAUGCUUCAUGACAUCUUAGCUGCGGUCCAGGGCUGCCCCCCGCCCGCCCGCAGUGGGGAGGGCAACUCAGGGAAGGGGGAAGAACUGGGCAGUGAUGGGCCUGAAUCUUUGGGUGAGGACAAGGAGGAGCCCAGAGAUGUCUGACCCUGAAGCCCUCACCCCAGGGGACUGGUUCCUGGGGCGGGUGGGGUCACGGCCCUUUCCCUGAUGUGCCCCGGCUGGUGAGCUGGGACCGAGCAGAGGAGCCGAGCUGGGCCGCAGCUCUCCAGGGUGUCUAGUCCUGGUGCUUGUGUGCAUGUGUGUGUGCGUGUGCCUGUGUGCGUGCACAUGAGUGUGAAUGUGAGUGUGCAUAUGUGUGCAUGUACAAUCCUUUCUUCGGUGCCCUGGGACUGUUACAUUUAUAGUGAGUCCAGUCCAGACGCCCAGGUAACCCCAUGCUCCCCCCCACCCAGUGGCUCUCAUUGGUUCCACUUGGUUCUGAGGGUCUCAAAUAAACUGACUGCCUGGGCACCUUCUGCUCUGUGU
Long non-coding RNA from Gopherus agassizii (Agassiz's desert tortoise), 1668 nucleotides. NCBI's taxonomy places the organism in Eukaryota, Metazoa, Chordata, Testudines, Testudinidae. The record is from Ensembl.